GACGAACGCUGGCGGCGUGCUUAACACAUGCAAGUCGAACGGAAAGGCCCUUCGGGGUACUCUAGUGGCGAACGGGUGAGUAACACGUGGGUAAUCUGCCCUGCACUCUGGGAUAAGCCUGGGACACUGGGUCUAAUACCGAAUAAGACCACGCGCUACAGGACGUGUGGUGGAAAGCUUUUGCGGCGUGGGCUGGGCCCGUGGCCUAUGAGCUAGUUGGUGGGGAAAUGGCCUACCAAGGCGACGACGGGUAGCCGGCCCGAGAGGUUGAACGGCGACAAUGGGACUACGAUACGGAGCAGAAUGCUACGGGCGGCAGUGGUCGGGAAUAUUGCACAAUGGCGGCAAGUCUGAUGCAGCGACGCUGCGUGAGGGAUGCCGUCCUACGGGUUGUAAACAUAUUUCAAUAGGGCCGAAGCGCAAGUGACGGUACCUAAAGAAGAAGCCCCGGCCAACUACGUG
This 462-nucleotide ribosomal RNA is filed under the name uncultured bacterium. Its description in RNAcentral is "partial 16S ribosomal RNA". It matches the Rfam family "Bacterial small subunit ribosomal RNA", at positions 28 to 507 of the family's 1533-position model. The record is from RNAcentral.